UGUUGUUCCAUAUGGUGCACAAGGAUUUGGUCUUUUAAGGGACCACAUGUGAGUAUUAACUUACCAGAGAGACAGCAAAGCUGCACACAGCGUUAGCAAUGUGCUCCUUCAUUUCCAUGUACUGUGAUAUAUUAUUUUUUCCUCCUCAUUUGCAGUAAUUUAAAGAUUGAUGCAUAGUAAUUAAGUGCAGCUUAUAAUGGGACUAUUUUCGUUUAAAUGCGUAUCUAAAUCUUCAGUGAAAGUGUACUUAGAGAUGGUAUUUCUAAUAGGGAGUUUCUUUUCAUUAUUUCUGCUGUUUAACUGGCAAUUAGACAUCAGCCUCUGUUGGCUUUCUUCACCAACCCACACCUCUGGGAUGGACACUCUGUAAAGCAAGGCUUGGUGUGAGCACAGUGAGGGGUGCUGUGUUUCAGCAGGGGUGACAGCAGCAAUGGGUCACCUCCUGUGGCACUGAUUUUUACAAGCACACCAUGCAGGUUCUUGUUUAUUGCUGGCACAAAUGCACAACUAAUGGCAAUGCAGGGGAAAUGCUGAGUCACAGCUGGGAGCAGUGAUGGAGCACCUGGUGGAAGGCAGGGCCAACCCAGGGAGCUCAGGUGCAAGCAAUGUACCUGAGUGACUGGAAGGGGUGGAGCCAGGAUCCAACCCUUCCUAGAUAGACCUCAUUUAAGGGUUGGUCAUAGAGGUGAGUGGCUCUCAUCUAAUAUCUCCACCUACCUAAGGAUUGUAUGGGCCUUCCUGAGCCACAAACCCAGAAUUUAGAGCAGCGUGUAACUUCUGUGCAGCUGGAACUCUUCUGCCUCUUCAUCAAUUCAAGCAGUCUUGCCCCAGAUCUCUGCUGCCUUUGGCUUUCAGCAAAAACCCAGCCUUCACCACAGGGGACAGAUUUGGGGAUGCUCAAGAGAAUAGCAGUAAAUGCGGACGGCUGCCUGGCUGUAUGUGCGCACCUUUAGUGACAAUCACAAUGACAUUAAGGAGUGAUUUCCAUGCACAGCAUCACUAGUGCUCACAGCCAUGCUCUACCUGGGCCACACAGAUGGGAACUGAGCGCAAAUCAUGGCAAAAUGGGGCAAGUGGCUUGAAGUGCCAACUGAUGGGGGAGCUGGGAUGGCUCUGUCUGGAGCAGAGGAGCUCAGGGGAGACCUCAUUGCUCCCUGCAGCUCCUGAGAAGA
Coturnix japonica (Japanese quail) is the source of this 1172-nucleotide non-coding RNA. NCBI's taxonomy places the organism in Eukaryota, Metazoa, Chordata, Aves, Galliformes, Phasianidae. The record is from RefSeq and is a predicted model, not a curated record.